AGCUUGAUCUCCGUUGUUGUCUCCGAACAAAUUCUCUUCCACAGCUGCAAAAAAGAAAACCGAUAAAUUCCUUAUCUUCAAAUAGCAAAUUAAGAAAAUUUAAACACCUAAAAGACGAACCUUGGAAGCCUGACGACCAAUAUAAAGCGACAUCUUUUCUUUUUUUUAAUGUAACCACCGCUUUUGUAUUACAUCAUAAACCAACUUUGAAUGUCAAUAUCAUUCAUCCUAAACCCACAUUAAACCCUUCAUCUUAAUAAAAUUCAAUUCAAAGGCUAAACUCAAAAAACAAACCAAUUUGCCAAAUUGGGUUUUGGAGAGGGAAUUAAAUUACAAGGGGAAAAUUUGAAUAAGAAACAAAUGGUCAAAGCUGUGGAAAAGUUGAAGGAAAAUCAGUCUAACAGGAAAGGUCUUUCUCCUGGUAGAUUGAUUUCCUUUUGUGUGUGUGUGUAGAAACUGGUAAAUGCUACUUUUAAUAUGUGUGAUUUUUCUUUCUUCUCUCUCUAAGUUUCUCUCUCCUUUUGUUGAGUUUGAUUUGUCUCCGAUGUCUGCUAACGAGUUGAACACGGAGAGACGAUUGCUAAAAAUAAACACAGCUUUUGAGAAAGAGGUAAAUUGUAUAUGAAAAUCGCCGCGCGAGUUAGCAAAA
This 649-nucleotide long non-coding RNA is filed under the name Nicotiana tabacum (common tobacco). RNAcentral's name for it is "long non-coding RNA (NTAB_LNC001292)". The record is from RNAcentral. Lineage: Eukaryota; Viridiplantae; Streptophyta; Magnoliopsida; Solanales; Solanaceae.